CCAGCUCCAUGUGGAGCUGCUUCUCAAAGAGGCACUGCAGGGUCUUCAAGGGCAGGUGCAGCUUCGGGUAGGACACACGCCCAUCCUGCAGGGAUGGGGGUAGUGAGGUUGGGGGCUUGCCAGAGGGCGACCUGCCCUCCCAGGACCCCGAGACAGCAUGGGUGCACGCGUUUCUGCGUCUCCUGCAAGUUGCUGGUGGCUAUCGCUGACGCGGGGAAAGGCGGGCUGCGGGUAAAGUCAGUGCCAGCAGUGCAAACCAAAGGCCUUGACCCUCCUGGCCUCGACCCCUCUAGAAGGGACACUGGGCACCGUGCAGGGGGUGGCAGGGGCGGUGAUGCUGGGAGCUGGCAGAGCCUGGGGAGACCGUUCACUGCACCCCCAGAUGUUGGCUGUUUUCUCCUCAAACUCAGAACUGUAUGAAUGUGACCCAUCCAGAAAUAGAUGAAUUAAAAAUAACAACUAAA
Molecule: long non-coding RNA, 464 nt
Filed under: Homo sapiens (human)
Lineage: Eukaryota; Metazoa; Chordata; Mammalia; Primates; Hominidae
Description: HSALNT0254073
Source: RNAcentral